RNAcentral lists this ribosomal RNA (485 nucleotides) under uncultured bacterium. Its description in RNAcentral is "partial 16S ribosomal RNA". It matches the Rfam family "Bacterial small subunit ribosomal RNA", at positions 28 to 507 of the family's 1533-position model. The record is from RNAcentral.
GAUGAACGCUGGCGGCGUGCUUAACACAUGCAAGUCGAACGGGAUCCAAGGGGUGCUUGCACUUUUUGGUGAGAGUGGCGAACGGGUGAGUAACACGUGAGUAACCUGUCCUUUUCUUUGGGAUAAGCAUUCGAAAGGGUGUUUAAUACCUUAUGUUCUGUCUGCCUCGCAUGGGGUGGGUGGGAAAGGCUUUGGCCGGAUUUGGGUGGGCUCGCGGUCUAUCAGCUUGUUGGUGGGGUGAUGGCUUACCAAGGCUUUGACGGGUAGCCGGCCUGAGAGGGUGGUCGGGCACAUUGGGACUGAGAUACGGCCCAGACUCCUGCGGGAGGCAGCAGUGGGGGAUAGUGCACAAUGGGCGAAAGCCUGAUGCAGCGACGCCGCGUGGGGGAUGAAGGCCUUCGGGUUGUAAACUUCUUUUGCUCUGAACAAGGCAUGCCAGUGGGUGUGUUGAGUGUAGGGGUUGAUUAGCGCCGGCUAACUACGUG